Molecule: long non-coding RNA, 343 nt
Filed under: Homo sapiens (human)
Lineage: Eukaryota; Metazoa; Chordata; Mammalia; Primates; Hominidae
Description: HSALNT0347920
Source: RNAcentral
CGUUUCUUCUGCGGAGGCAAGAAUUGAGUUUGCUUCAGACCUGGACAGAACCACUGCCGCUAACAUAUUUCGGUGCCCUGUGACUCGGAAAUGUUCCACCGGCUGCAGUUUAGGCUAACCCUGCUUAUUCCUGUAAACCAACAAGGGACCUCUGCAGUUCAGAAGAAACAAGAGGGAUCGGCCAUCAAGCUCCAGAUGAUCCUCAGUGAGGGAUACUGUCCUCUCAAUAUUCAAGAGUCACCCUUCUACAGAAGAUCCCUAGACUUCCCAUCAGUGGGACAUGACAGAGGUGAGAAACCUGAGAUUCGUGGAAGUUAAAAGACUUGUGCAGCAUCCACAGCUA